AGGAGCGCUCAUACGAGCACUAAUGCACCGGAUCCCAUUUGAAUUCUACAGUGAAGCGUCCUUGGGCGAGAGAGAGUACUACUAGGAUGGGUGACCACUUGGCAAGUCCUCGUGUGGCACCUC
Molecule: ribosomal RNA, 123 nt
Organism: Lupinus angustifolius (narrow-leaved blue lupine)
Lineage: Eukaryota; Viridiplantae; Streptophyta; Magnoliopsida; Fabales; Fabaceae
Source: Rfam